UACUUGAGUUAGAGAUUAUGGUAUAGGGGUUUAAAUUUUAGGGAUUGUGGAUUGGGGUUAAGGGUUAAAAGAUUUUAUAGUUAAGAAAUUGUUAAGAACAUAAUAAAUUAUAAUUUGUUAGAAAUUUAUAUUAGAUUUUAGAAGUGUAAUUUGUGUUGUUAAAAUGAAAAUAUUUGGCUGUUUUUUUUAUCAGGGUUUAUGGUAUAGGAUUUAAAUUUUAGGGAUUGUGGUUUAGGGUUAAGAGUUUAUAGUUAAGAAGUUGUUAAACAUAUAAAAAUUUGGUUAGUUAAUUAUAAUUGGUUAAAAAUUUAUAUUAAACUAUUAAAAAUGGAUAAAUAUGGUUAUUAUAAAAAAUAUUAUUUGUAACAUCACAAAAUUUUAUUUUCCUCUAUUAAGUAUUUUUCCCCACACAUUUCCCUUCCUAUUAUUUUUGGCUCUACUUAUUGCCUCCAUUUUCUCAUUUCCCUCCCAAGUAUUUUUGGGUUUAACUCCAAAAUAUUUUGGCCCAAAAUUUGGUUAUCAGUUAAGUUUUUCAUGACGUACGGCACUUAGAAAAAAAAAGACCAAGCUCUUAAACUCUCUCUCAAAAGUCCAAACUUACCGAGUCUUCUUCUCCUCUCUCUCGCCUCGCCUCGGUCAUGUUAUCCGGGUCCCAUGCGAGAGACUGAGGGAAGAAAUACGACUUCUCAAAAAUACUUCACAUCCAAGCAUUGUUAGAUACUUAGGUACUAUAGGGAAGAAUGAGUAACCAAAAAUCUUGAUAGAUUUUUGCCCAGUGGUUCGGUAUCAUCUAUGUUGGAAAAGUUUGGAUCUUUUCCUGAACCAUGCAGUACACAUGUGACUAUUAUUCAGCAGACUUGAAUCAUCUACAUGUUUCUCAGUCUCAUUGAAGAACUUAGUGAUACUGAGUUAUUCUGGGGCCAACGUCCAAUUCAGGCACGGUUUCUUCCCUAUUGUAUUUAUAAGCAGUGGCGGAGCCAAUGUACAAUCAAGGGGGUCAAUUGACCCAUGUCAAUUUUUGAAAAAAAAUAUUUUACUUGUAUUUCCAAAGAAAAAUCUGAUGAAUUUAGCUUAUUGACCCUUGCAAAAUACAUUUGUUAUCACAUUGACUCUUCUAAAAUAAAAUUCUGCCUCC
Brassica napus (rape) is the source of this 1135-nucleotide long non-coding RNA. RefSeq lists it as uncharacterized. NCBI's taxonomy places the organism in Eukaryota, Viridiplantae, Streptophyta, Magnoliopsida, Brassicales, Brassicaceae. The transcript has 4 exons. The record is from RefSeq and is a predicted model, not a curated record.